This 301-nucleotide ribosomal RNA is filed under the name uncultured bacterium. Its description in RNAcentral is "partial 16S ribosomal RNA". It matches the Rfam family "Bacterial small subunit ribosomal RNA", at positions 509 to 807 of the family's 1533-position model. The record is from RNAcentral.
CAGCAGCCGCGGGAAUACGAAGGGGGCUAGCGUUGUUCGGAAUUACUGGGCGUAAAGCGCGCGUAGGCGGUUACUCAAGUCAGAGGUGAAAGCCCGGGGCUCAACCCCGGAACUGCCUUUGAAACUAGGUGACUAGAAUCUUGGAGAGGUCAGUGGAAUUCCGAGUGUAGAGGUGAAAUUCGUAGAUAUUCGGAAGAACACCAGUGGCGAAGGCGACUGACUGGACAAGUAUUGACGCUGAGGUGCGAAAGCGUGGGGAGCAAACAGGAUUAGAUACCCGGGUAGUCCCUGUCUCUUAUAC